RNAcentral lists this ribosomal RNA (1329 nucleotides) under Streptomyces sp. RNAcentral describes it as "bacterial SSU rRNA". It matches the Rfam family "Bacterial small subunit ribosomal RNA", at positions 93 to 1429 of the family's 1533-position model. Lineage: Bacteria; Bacillati; Actinomycetota; Actinomycetes; Kitasatosporales; Streptomycetaceae. The record is from RNAcentral.
UAGUGGCGAACGGGUGAGUAACACGUGGGCAAUCUGCCCUUCACUCUGGGACAAGCCCUGGAAACGGGGUCUAAUACCGGAUAACACUGCGGAUCGCAUGGUCUGCGGUUAAAAGCUCCGGCGGUGAAGGAUGAGCCCGCGGCCUAUCAGCUUGUUGGUGGGGUGAUGGCCUACCAAGGCGACGACGGGUAGCCGGCCUGAGAGGGCGACCGGCCACACUGGGACUGAGACACGGCCCAGACUCCUACGGGAGGCAGCAGUGGGGAAUAUUGCACAAUGGGCGAAAGCCUGAUGCAGCGACGCCGCGUGAGGGAUGACGGCCUUCGGGUUGUAAACCUCUUUCAGCAGGGAAGAAGCGAAAGUGACGGUACCUGCAGAAGAAGCGCCGGCUAACUACGUGCCAGCAGCCGCGGUAAUACGUAGGGCGCAAGCGUUGUCCGGAAUUAUUGGGCGUAAAGAGCUCGUAGGCGGCUUGUCACGUCGGAUGUGAAAGCCCGGGGCUUAACCCCGGGUCUGCAUUCGAUACGGGCAGGCUAGAGUGUGGUAGGGGAGAUCGGAAUUCCUGGUGUAGCGGUGAAAUGCGCAGAUAUCAGGAGGAACACCGGUGGCGAAGGCGGAUCUCUGGGCCAUUACUGACGCUGAGGAGCGAAAGCGUGGGGAGCGAACAGGAUUAGAUACCCUGGUAGUCCACGCCGUAAACGUUGGGAACUAGGUGUUGGCGACAUUCCACGUCGUCGGUGCCGCAGCUAACGCAUUAAGUUCCCCGCCUGGGGAGUACGGCCGCAAGGCUAAACUCAAAGGAAUUGACGGGGGCCCGCACAAGCAGCGGAGCAUGUGGCUUAAUUCGACGCAACGCGAAGAACCUUACCAAGGCUUGACAUAUACCGGAAAGCAUCAGAGAUGGUGCCCCCCUUGUGGUCGGUAUACAGGUGGUGCAUGGCUGUCGUCAGCUCGUGUCGUGAGAUGUUGGGUUAAGUCCCGCAACGAGCGCAACCCUUGUUCUGUGUUGCCAGCAUGCCCUUCGGGGUGAUGGGGACUCACAGGAGACUGCCGGGGUCAACUCGGAGGAAGGUGGGGACGACGUCAAGUCAUCAUGCCCCUUAUGUCUUGGGCUGCACACGUGCUACAAUGGCCGGUACAAAGAGCUGCGAAGCCGUGAGGCGGAGCGAAUCUCAAAAAGCCGGUCUCAGUUCGGAUUGGGGUCUGCAACUCGACCCCAUGAAGUCGGAGUUGCUAGUAAUCGCAGAUCAGCAUUGCUGCGGUGAAUACGUUCCCGGGCCUUGUACACACCGCCCGUCACGUCACGAAAGUCGGUAACACCCGAAGCCG